GAUGAACGCUAGCUACAGGCUUAACACAUGCAAGUCGAGGGGCAGCGGUAUCGAAAGCUUGCUUUCGGUAGCCGGCGACCGGCGCACGGGUGAGUAACGCGUAACGAACCUGCCUCAUACUCGGGAAUAGCCUUGCGAAAGUAAGAUUAAUGCCCGGUGUUUUCAGAGUCCCGCAUGAGGCUUUGAACAAAGAUUUAUCGGUAUGAGAUGGCGAUGCGUCCCAUUAGCUUGUUGGCGGGGUAACGGCCCACCAAGGCAUCGAUGGGUAGGGGUUCUGAGAGGAAGGUCCCCCACAUUGGAACUGAGACACGGUCCAAACUCCUACGGGAGGCAGCAGUGAGGAAUAUUGGUCAAUGGGCGGAAGCCUGAACCAGCCAAGUAGCGUGCAGGAAGACGGCCCUCCGGGUUGUAAACUGCUUUUAGUUGGGAAUAAAACGGGGCUCGUGAGCCCCCUUGCAUGUACCAUCAGAAAAAGGACCGGCUAAUUCCGUG
Molecule: ribosomal RNA, 492 nt
Filed under: uncultured bacterium
Lineage: Bacteria
Description: partial 16S ribosomal RNA
Rfam family: Bacterial small subunit ribosomal RNA
Source: RNAcentral